Molecule: ribosomal RNA, 301 nt
Filed under: uncultured bacterium
Lineage: Bacteria
Description: partial 16S ribosomal RNA
Rfam family: Bacterial small subunit ribosomal RNA
Source: RNAcentral
CAGCAGCCUCGGUAAUACGUAGGUCCCGAGCGUUGUCCGGAUUUAUUGGGCGUAAAGCGAGCGCAGGCGGUUAGAUAAGUCUGAAGUUAAAGGCUGUGGCUUAACCAUAGUACGCUUUGGAAACUGUUUAACUUGAGUGCAAGAGGGGAGAGUGGAAUUCCAUGUGUAGCGGUGAAAUGCGUAGGUAUAUGGAGGAACACCGGUGGCGAAAGCGGCUCUCUGGCUUGUAACUGACGCUGAGGCUCGAAAGCGUGGGGAGCAAACAGGAUUAGAUACCCCCGUAGUCCCUGUCUCUUUACAC